This 279-nucleotide ribosomal RNA is filed under the name uncultured bacterium. Its description in RNAcentral is "partial 16S ribosomal RNA". It matches the Rfam family "Bacterial small subunit ribosomal RNA", at positions 335 to 613 of the family's 1533-position model. The record is from RNAcentral.
UACGGGAGGCAGCAGUGGGGAACUUUGGGGAGGCAGCAGUGGGGAAUUUUACCCAAUGGGCGCGAGCGAAGAAGACCUUCGGGUUGUGGGUGAAGAAGUCCUUGGAAGAUGUAAAGCCCUUUGAACAGCGAAGAGGAAGGACGGUACUGGCAGAACAAGCCCCGGCUAACUACGUCCAGCAGCCGCGGUAAAACGUAGGGGGGAGCGUUGUCCGAAUCACUGGGCGUAAAGGGCGAGUAGGCGGCCCAUAAGACAGAAAGUGAAUCCCCAGGGUUUACC